This 497-nucleotide ribosomal RNA is filed under the name uncultured bacterium. Its description in RNAcentral is "partial 16S ribosomal RNA". It matches the Rfam family "Bacterial small subunit ribosomal RNA", at positions 28 to 507 of the family's 1533-position model. The record is from RNAcentral.
GAUGAACGCUGGCGGCGUGCCUAAUACAUGCAAGUCGAGCGAACGGACGAGAAGCUUGCUUCUCUGAUGUUAGCGGCGGACGGGUGAGUAACACGUGGAUAACCUACCUAUAAGACUGGGAUAACUUCGGGAAACCGGAGCUAAUACCGGAUGAUAUUUUGAACCGCAUGGUUCAAAAGUGAGAGACGGUCUUGCUGUCACUUAUAGAUGGAUCCGCGCUGCAUUAGCUAGUUGGUAAGGUAACGGCUUACCAAGGCAACGAUGCAUAGCCGACCUGAGAGGGUGAUCGGCCACACCUGAACUGAGACACGGUCCAGACUCCUACGGGAGGCAGCAGUAGGGAAUCUUCCGCAAUGGGCGAAAGCCUGACGGAGCAACGCCGCGUGAGUGAUGAAGGUCUUCGGAUCGUAAAACUCUGUUAUUAGGGAAGAACAUAUGUGUAAGUAACUGUGCACAUCUUGACGGUACCUAAUCAGAAAGCCACGGCUAACUACGUG